Molecule: ribosomal RNA, 466 nt
Filed under: uncultured bacterium
Lineage: Bacteria
Description: partial 16S ribosomal RNA
Rfam family: Bacterial small subunit ribosomal RNA
Source: RNAcentral
GAUGAACGCUGGCGGCGUGCUUAACACAUGCAAGUCGGACGGAAAGGCCCAAGCUUGCUUGGGUGCUCGAGUGGCGAACGGGUGAGUAACACGUGGGUGAUCUGCCCUGCACUUUGGGAUAAGCCUGGGAAACUGGGUCUAAUACCGGAUAGGACCAUCGUUUAGUGUCGGUGGUGGAAAGUUUUUCGGUGUGGGAUGAGCUCGCGGCCUAUCAGCUUGUUGGUGGGGUAAUGGCCUACCAAGGCGUCGACGGGUAGCCGGCCUGAGAGGGUGUACGGCCACAUUGGGACUGAGAUACGGCCCAGACUCCUACGGGAGGCAGCAGUGGGGAAUAUUGCACAAUGGGCGCAAGCCUGAUGCAGCGACGCCGCGUGGGGGAUGACGGCCUUCGGGUUGUAAACUCCUUUCGCCAAGGACGAAGCGUUUUGUGACGGUACUUGGAGAAGAAGCACCGGCUAACUACGUG